Molecule: long non-coding RNA, 1036 nt
Filed under: Homo sapiens (human)
Lineage: Eukaryota; Metazoa; Chordata; Mammalia; Primates; Hominidae
Description: HSALNT0110169
Source: RNAcentral
GCGAGACUCUGUGGGGGUAGGACCCUCUGAGCCACGUGCCGGAUAUAAUCUCGUGGUGCGCCGUUUUUUUAAGCCGUUCGGAAAAGCACAGUAUUCGGGUGGGAGUGACCCGAUUUUCCAGGUGCGUCUGUCACCCCUUUCUUUCACUCAGAAAGGGAACUCCCUGACCCCUUGCGCUUCCCAAGUGAGGCAAUGCCUCGCCCUGCUUCGGCUCGCGCACGGUGCGCGCACCCACUGACCUUCGCCCACUGUCUGCCACUCCCAAGUGAGAUGAACCCGGUACCUCAGAUGGAAAUGCAGAAAUCACCUGUCUUCUGCGUCGCUCACGCUGGGAGCUGUAGACUGGAGCUGUUCCUAUUCGGCCAUCUUGGCUCCUCUCAGAUGAUAAAAUUCAGGCCAAGAGAAGCAAAGACAGCAAAGACUGACAUAAAAAAGAAACAACAAAAACAACUCUUGUUAAUGAUGUAGAAUUAAUCUGAAUUCUCCAAAAACCUGCCUCUUUUGGAGAUAGUGGUCUUGCAUUCCCUGAUGCUGAGAGACUGAGUCUAUAUAUUGAAGACUUCAUUUCACCAGCAGGUGCAAAUGUUCUACAUUUCAAAGCCAUCUGUGUUUUUUAAGUGAUUGAGGCCAAGAGUAAUCCAUAUUUAGUUGUUUUGACCAUUUAAACUAAGGUUUAUGUUAUUCUUUGACUUUAUCAAUGUACUAAUGUACAUAUUUUAUAUGCUGUACCAUGUAUAUCUGUGAAUAAAAAAAAAUACAUGUCACUGUCGUUCAAUUGUUUUUCUUUCAUUACUGCCCCCACCCAAAGGAAAUUUUUAGAUUUUUUUGAUUACUAUCACUGCUAGGUGACUUUUUAGGAUUUGGUUUUAUUAAAUACUAACACAUUUCAUUAAAUUUUAGUACCACAGAGAUGCUGUAUAUCUAUUUAUGUACUGUGGUCAUUUUGGAACAACAAAUUAUUAUCUAUCAUUUUUCCACUCCCCCAAAAGAAUCAAUGUUUACCCCCUUGUGGAUAAAUUAGAGGUUAAAAUAUCAU